RNAcentral lists this long non-coding RNA (411 nucleotides) under Capsella rubella. RNAcentral's name for it is "long non-coding RNA (CRUB_LNC003499)". Lineage: Eukaryota; Viridiplantae; Streptophyta; Magnoliopsida; Brassicales; Brassicaceae. The record is from RNAcentral.
CAAAAGCUAAAAAACAUUAUUAAAAAAAACCUCCAUGAACCCUAACUUUUACGUACGAUGCAGAACUAUCUGAGAUACGUCUUUGCGCAGGUUUACCGCAGAGGAAGACCUCCCAAUUUCUCUUCACCACCUCUUAUUACCAGCUAUGGUAACGCUGUUUGAUUUCACAUGAAAUCCAUCAAAAUUGUCAUUGUCGAGUAUCGUGUCGUGUCUGAUAUCUAAAUAUUUUGUGAUUUGUUAUUGGAGUAGUGUCCUCCUGGGGACCUUUUUGGUUUCAAACUCACGAGCUUGACUCAGAGACACGUUGAUGUCUAAUCUCAAAUUAUGAAGCAAAUUCAUUACCUACCGAUCGAACAAGGUAGCGAAAUUGAAAUGGCUUUUUCUCCAGUGUGAUCAGUGAUGAUAUGAACC